CCUACGGGUGGCUGCAGUGGGGAAUAUUUGGCAAUGGGCGCAAGCCUGACCCAGCAAUGCCGCGUGAAGGAAGAAGGCUUUCGGGUUGUAAACUUCUUUUACAGGGGAAGAGCCGAAGACGGUACCCUUAAAACAAUCCACGGCUAACUACGUGCCAUCAGCCGCGUUAAUACGUAGGUGGCCAGCGUUGUCCGGAUUUACUGGGUGUAAAGGGCGUGUAGCCGGGAAGGCAAGUCAGAUGUGAAAUCCGGUGGCUCAACCUCCGAAUUGCAUUUGAAACUGUUUUUCUUGAGUACUGGAGAGGCAGACGGAAUUCGUUGUGUAGCGGUGAAAUGCGUAGAUAUAAGGAGGAACACCAGUGGCGAAGGCGGUCUGCUGGACAGCAACUGACGGUGAGGCGCGAAAGCGUGGGUAGCAAACAGGAUUAGAUACCCCUGUAGUC
Molecule: ribosomal RNA, 442 nt
Filed under: uncultured bacterium
Lineage: Bacteria
Description: partial 16S ribosomal RNA
Rfam family: Bacterial small subunit ribosomal RNA
Source: RNAcentral